This 584-nucleotide ribosomal RNA is filed under the name uncultured soil bacterium. Its description in RNAcentral is "bacterial SSU rRNA". It matches the Rfam family "Bacterial small subunit ribosomal RNA", at positions 794 to 1371 of the family's 1533-position model. The record is from RNAcentral.
GAUUAGCCUUAAACGAUGAAUGCUUGGUGUCCGGAGUUAGAUAGUCUCCGGGUGCCGUCGCUAACGCUUUAAGCAUUCCGCCUGGGGAGUACGUGCGCAAGCAUGAAACUCAAAGGAAUUGACGGGGGACCCGCACAAGCGGUGGAGCAUGUGGUUUAAUUCGACGCAACGCGAAGAACCUUACCUAGUCUAGAAUGCUCCUGACAGCCCUAGAGAUAGGGUUUCUUGGGUAAAACCAAGCAGGAUGCAAGGUGCUGCAUGGCUGUCGUCAGCUCGUGUCGUGAGAUGUUGGGUUAAGUCCCGCAACGAGCGCAACCCUUAUCAACAGUUGCCAUCGGGUAAUGCCGGGAACUCUGUUGAAACUGCCGUUGAUAAAACGGAGGAAGGUGGGGAUGACAUCAAGUCCUCAUGGCCUUUAUGACUAGGGCUACACACGUGCUACAAUGGCCGGUACAAAACGCUGCAAACUCGCAAGAGUGAGCCAAUCGUAAAAAGCCGGUCUCAAUUCGGAUUGGAGUCUGCAACUCGACUCCAUGAAGUUGGAAUCGCUAGUAAUCGCAGAUCAGCACCUGCGGUGAAUACUU